CCUACGGGGUGCAGCAGUGAGGAAUAUUGGUCAAUGGGAGAGAUCCUGAACCAGCCAAGCCGCGUGAGGGAAGACGGCUCUAUGGGUUGUAAACCUCUUUUGUCGGAGAACAAAACCCGGGACGUGUCCCGGACUGCGUGUAUCCGAAGAAAAAGCAUCGGCAAACUCCGUGCCAGCAGCCGCGGUAAUACGGAGGAUGCGAGCGUUAUCCGGAUUUAUUGGGUUUAAAGGGUGCGUAGGCGGUCCGUUAAGUCAGCGGGAAAAUUGCGGGGCUCAACCCCGUCGAGCCGUUGAAACUGGCAGACUUGAGUUGGCGAGAAGUACGCGGAAUUCGCGGUGUAGCGGUGAAAUGCAUAGAUAUCGCGCAGAACUCCGAUUGCGAAGGCAGCGUACCGGCGCCAGACUGACGCUGAGGCACGAAAGCGUGGGGAUCGAACAGGAUUAGAUACCCUAGUAGUC
RNAcentral lists this ribosomal RNA (459 nucleotides) under uncultured bacterium. Its description in RNAcentral is "partial 16S ribosomal RNA". It matches the Rfam family "Bacterial small subunit ribosomal RNA", at positions 338 to 795 of the family's 1533-position model. The record is from RNAcentral.